This 633-nucleotide long non-coding RNA is filed under the name Mus pahari (shrew mouse). RNAcentral's name for it is "lncRNA (MGP_PahariEiJ_G0006073.1)". Lineage: Eukaryota; Metazoa; Chordata; Mammalia; Rodentia; Muridae. The record is from RNAcentral.
GAGGAGCAUGCCAGAGGAAGACAGGAUGAAGUGAAGAGGCUGCAGUGGGGAGAUCUAGAAGCAUUGGAGCCAUAAAGGGGGAUGAAAUGACAGCAGACCUCUUACGGAGUGCUGAUGACUGAAAGAAAGUGAGUUAAGACUGUCCUCUGUUUGCCGCGCCCAUGCAACUGGGACUGGAAACCAUGGAGGUUCUGUGUAAGUUGUGCAUCUGAAGAAGUCAUUUCACUUCUGGAUGCUACCGCGGCAGGCGGACAAGCACACUAGAUAAUAAUGAGGUGGGACACUCAGAACUGAGCCACACUGUGAUACUGAAGUCAUUAAUGAAGUGAAGAUGUUUAGUCAGAACUGCUGCAGACAUUCAAGAUAUAAGAGUUAUCUUCAAACACUUGACAGCGGUCCCUAGAGAAUAAAAUUAAACUCUUACAAGAUGACAGAACCAUCAUCUGAAAGAACACGGAAACAAUCUGAGUUACAUUCAGGCCUCUAGAUACUAAAACCUUCUGAAACACCAGAAGCGUCAAAAUGUUCCCCUGUGGAACUGUAAGUAUAGCUUCAUUUGGUCUCAGGUUGAGCCAUUACCUUUAAGGAAGUUCUAUUUAUUACUGACAACUUCAGUCAUCUUUUUCUGAAACU